Pelobates cultripes (western spadefoot toad) is the source of this 422-nucleotide non-coding RNA. NCBI's taxonomy places the organism in Eukaryota, Metazoa, Chordata, Amphibia, Anura, Pelobatidae. The record is from the annotation of a GenBank genome assembly.
GCAAUCCUGAAAAGAUGGGUUUUGAGGGACUUCUUAAAGGACUGAAGACAAUGGGAGAGUCUGACAGGGGUAGACAGGCUGUUCCAAAGGAAAGGAGCUGCCAGUGAGAAGUCUUGCAGGCGUGAAUUUGCAGUAAGGGUGUGAGCAGUAGAAACAUAGAAUGUGUCGGCAGAUAAGAACCAUUCUGCCCAUCUAGUCUGCCCAAUUUUCUAAAUACUUUCAUUAGUCCCUGGCCUUAUCUUAUAGUUCGGAUAGCCUUAUACCUAUCCCACGCAUGCUUAAACUCCUUUACUGUGUUAACCUCUACCACUUCAGCUGGAAGGCUAUUCCAUGCAUCCACUACCCUCUCAGUAAAGUAAUACUUCCUGAUAUUAUUUUCGAACCUUUGUCCCUCUAAUUUAAGACUGUGCCCUCUUGUUGAC